This 406-nucleotide ribosomal RNA is filed under the name uncultured bacterium. Its description in RNAcentral is "partial 16S ribosomal RNA". It matches the Rfam family "Bacterial small subunit ribosomal RNA", at positions 30 to 526 of the family's 1533-position model. The record is from RNAcentral.
AUUGACCGCUGGCGGCAGGCCUAACACAUGCAAGUCGAACGAGUGGCGGACGGGUGAGUAAUGUCUGGGAAACUGCCUGAAGGAGGGGGAUAACUACUGGAAACGGUAGCUAAUAACGCAUACCAUACGAUGUGCCCAGAUGGGAUUAGCUUGUUGGUGGGGUAACGGCUCACCAAGGCGACGAUCCAUAGCUGGUCUGAGAGGAUGACCGGCCACACUGGAACUGAGAAACGGUCCGAACUCUUACGUGAGGCAGCAGUGGGAAAUAUUGCACAAGGGGCGAAAGCCUGAUGCAGCCAUGCGGGGUGUAUGAAGAGGGCCUUCGGGUUUUAAAGUACUUUCAGCGGGGAGGCGUUACCCGAAGAGGAAGCACCGGCUAACUCCGUGCCAGCAGCCGCGGUAAUAC